RNAcentral lists this ribosomal RNA (459 nucleotides) under uncultured bacterium. RNAcentral describes it as "partial 16S ribosomal RNA". It matches the Rfam family "Bacterial small subunit ribosomal RNA", at positions 338 to 795 of the family's 1533-position model. The record is from RNAcentral.
CCUACGGGUGGCAGCAGUGAGGAAUAUUGGUCAAUGGGCGAGAGCCUGAACCAGCCAAGUCGCGUGAGGGAAGACGGUCCUAUGGAUUGUAAACCUCUUUUGCCGGGGAGCAAAAAGCGGUACGUGUACCGCAUCGAGAGUACCCGGCGAAAAAGCAUCGGCUAACUCCGUGCCAGCAGCCGAGGUAAUACGGGGGAUGCGAGCGUUUACCGGAUUUAUGGGGUUAAAGGGGUGCGCAGGCGGAGAGGUAAGUGAGCGGUAAAAUUUCGGGGCUCAACCCCGACAAGCCGUUGAAACUGGCUUGCUAGAGUGGGCGAGAAGUAUGCGGAAGGCGUGGUGUAGCGGUGAAAUGCAUAGAUAUCACGCAGAACUCCGAUUGCGAAGGCAGCAUACCGGCGCCCAACUGACGCUCAGGCACGAAAGCGUGGGUAUCGAACAGGAUUAGAUACCCGGGUAGUC